Molecule: long non-coding RNA, 411 nt
Organism: Cannabis sativa
Lineage: Eukaryota; Viridiplantae; Streptophyta; Magnoliopsida; Rosales; Cannabaceae
Exons: 3
Source: RefSeq, a predicted model, not a curated record
AAAUUCUAAAAUUGUGUUCGGUAAGUAAUUUUGUUUUUUAUUUUUUUAAUUCAUAAUCAAAAUUUUUUAGAAUUUUAAAAAUAGAUUUUUGUUGAUUUUAAAAUUUUUAAAAACACUUUUUUUUCUCUCUCUGGCUUGUCUUCCUCCUCUCUUCACUGUCCGAUGAUCAUCCAUGGCUUAGCAAGUCCACCAUGCUAGAUCGCCACUGGCCUUCAUUAUCGGCGGUCGAGUUCAUCUUUACCGUUGAGUUCAGCAAUAAUAUUAGUUCCCAGAAAAAGACAUAUUUUGAUGGAGAUGAAGAAAUUCCUAAAGCACAAGAUACUACUAUAGAAAGCAACUAUGAAACUUUGAAUGAUAGUGUUGAGUUUAGCAUUUCAAGAGAUCAAAUUCGUGAAAUGGCUAAUGUUCGUG